Molecule: ribosomal RNA, 254 nt
Filed under: uncultured bacterium
Lineage: Bacteria
Description: partial small subunit ribosomal RNA
Rfam family: Bacterial small subunit ribosomal RNA
Source: RNAcentral
AGGACGAACGCUGGCGGCGUGCUUAACACAUGCAAGUCGAACGGAAAGGCCCUUCGGGGUACUCGAACGGCGAACGGGUGAGUAACACGUGAGCAAUCUGCCUUCAGCUUUGGGAUAACACUUGGAAACAGGUGCUAAUACCGGAUAUGACCUUGGACCGCAUGGUUUGGGGUGGAAAGUUUUUCGGCUGGAGAUGAGCUCGCGGCCUAUCAGCUUGUUGGUGGGGUAAUGGCCUACCAAGGCGACGACGGGUA